GUAGGGGGCUAGCGUUUUCGGGAUUGACGGGGCUGAAAGCGUGCGGUGGCGGUGUGUGAAGGCAUGAGUGAAAGGCAACGGCUAAAGCGUAGGAAGCUCUUGAAACUGGGAGACUUGAGUGAAGGGGAGGAGAGUGGAAUUCAGAGUGUAGCGGUGAAAUGCGUCGAUAUGAGGAGGAACACGAGUUGCGAAGGCGGCACUCUGGACUGUAACUGACGCUGAGGCACGAAAGCGUGGGGAGCAAACAGGAUUAGAUACCCUGGUAGUCCACGCUGUAAACGAUGAGUACUAGGUGUCGGGGGUUACCCCCUUCGGUGCCGCAGCCAACGCAUUAAGUACUCCGCCUGGGAAGUACGCUCGCAAGAGUGAAACUCAACGGAAUUGACGGGGUCCCGCCCAAGUAGCGGAGCAUGUGGUUUAAUUCGAAGCAACGCGAAGAACCUUAACUAAGCUUGACCUCCCAANGACAUCUCCUUAAUCGGAUAGUUCCCUUCGGGGACAUUGGUGACCGGUGGGGCAUGGUUGUCGUCAGCUCGUGUCUUGAGA
This 546-nucleotide ribosomal RNA is filed under the name Clostridioides difficile. RNAcentral's name for it is "bacterial SSU rRNA". It matches the Rfam family "Bacterial small subunit ribosomal RNA", at positions 527 to 1072 of the family's 1533-position model. The record is from RNAcentral. Lineage: Bacteria; Bacillati; Bacillota; Clostridia; Peptostreptococcales; Peptostreptococcaceae.